GAUGAACGCUGGCGGCGUGCCUAAUACAUGCAAGUCGAGCGAACGGACGAGGAGCUUGCUGUGCGGAUGUUAGCGGCGGACGGGUGAGUAACGCGUGGAUAACCUACCUAUAAGACGGGGAUAACUUCGGGAAACCGGAGCUAAUAGCGGAGAAUAUUUUGCACCGUAGGGGGCAAAAGUGAAAGACGGUCGUGGUGGAACGUAUAGAGGGAUCCCCGCUGCAUUAGCUGGUUGGUAAGGUAACGGCUUACCAAGGCAAGGAUGCGUAGCCGACGGGUCAGGCGGAUCGCCCGCAUUGGAAGUGAGCCGCCGUCCAUGCUCCUACGAGAGGCAGCAGUAGGCUAUCUUCCGCAAUGGGGGGGAGCCUGGCGCAGCGGGGCCGCGUGAGUUGUGACAAUCCUCCGAUCGUGAAACUCUGUUAUUAGUUAAGAACAUAUGUGUACGUAACUGUGGCCAUCUUGACGGUAACUGGUAAGGAAGCCCCGGCUAACUACGUG
This 497-nucleotide ribosomal RNA is filed under the name uncultured bacterium. RNAcentral describes it as "partial 16S ribosomal RNA". It matches the Rfam family "Bacterial small subunit ribosomal RNA", at positions 28 to 507 of the family's 1533-position model. The record is from RNAcentral.